This 5151-nucleotide long non-coding RNA is filed under the name Homo sapiens (human). RNAcentral's name for it is "HSALNT0023304". The record is from RNAcentral. Lineage: Eukaryota; Metazoa; Chordata; Mammalia; Primates; Hominidae.
GUGACCUCCGUCCCUACCGGGAGGACCAGGGCGGGCCGGCGAGGUCGAGGGGGACCCGCGGAACUGAGGGAGGUCCCAGGGGGCAGUGAGGGAGGAUCCAUGGGCGCUGAGGUGGGAAUCUAGGGAGGCUGAGGGAGGAUCUGUGGGGAUGACGGAAGUUCAAGGGGGGCUGAAGAGGCACGCAGCGGGCUGAGGAGGACCUGAGAGGCUGAAGGAGGAUCCGAAAGGCUGAUACAGCGGGGCUGAGGGGGGAUCCGCGGGGUUGGCGGGGGCUGAGAAAUGACCCUGUAGUUCACAGCAAAAUGGAGUAAUUUAUGUCACAACGUAACCAAAAUGGAGUGGGGAGGGCCCUAAGGAAGCAGCUGUCACGCAUUUCUGAAAUGCCAGAGAGGCUCGCUAUUACCUUGUAAACAGAGCUUAUUCCGGGCAUUUCCACUGGCCUGCAGUAUUCCAGAUGAGAUGUUUGGACCAGGGCAGGCAGAUAGCAUCGCCUAUCUGCCUCAGCGAACCAGGGUCACUUUGUGCAAUGAGUUCAUGAGACCAGGGCCUUUGUUUUGUGAAAGUUACAAAUAAGGAGUGAAAUCACUUUGUCAGGCCCAGACAAACAGGGCUGGGAAGAACAGGAGGCUCAGGCUUAGUGUCUGAGAUAAGAAUUAUUCGCAAGGACUUUCUAAAAACCCCACAAGAAACCCUUUUGUGUCAUUCACGGGUCUCCUACUUUGACAAAAUUUAGACCAUCUUUAGGACUGCAGUAAUUCAGUUAAGAUGCUCGGAAUAAACACUUGCCCAGUAAUGGCAGCGCCACCAAUGAACUGAGGACAACUUUGAGCUUUGGCGUUGGGCCCCUGGAACCAAUGAACUCUUUCUAAGCAGCUUCUGUGAACCGCUCCCUUUUCGCUGAUAAAAGUUCCCUUUUCACUGAUAAAAAGUUCCCUUUACCCUUCCCUCACUGGGAAUGCUGGUGGCUUGCUGCUGUUGAUGAAAAGAGUCAAACUUUGUAAAAUAUUUUAAGAGAUAUAUUCUGAGCCAAAUAUGAGUAACCAUGGCCUGUGACACAGCCCUCAGGACAGAGGUCCUGAGAACAUGUUCCCAAGGUGGUUGGGGUGCAGCUUGGUUUUAUACAUUUUAGGGAGGCAUGAGACAUCAAUCAAAUACAUUUAAAACCUACAUUGGUUUGGUUCAGAAAGGCAGGACAACUCGAAGCAGGGGUCAAGGGUGCUGGCUUCCAGCUUAUAGGUAGAUUGAAAAAUUUUCUGUUUGACAAUUGGUUGAAUUUACCUGAAGACCUGGGAUUAACAGAAAGGAAUGUCUGGGUUAAGAUAAAAGAUUGUGGGUGGGGUGCAGUGGCUCACACCUGUAAUCCCAGCACUUUGGGAGGCUAAGGCAGGCGGAUCACGAGGUCAGGAGUUCGAGACCAGCCUGACCAACAUGGUGAAACCUCCUCUCUACUAAAAAUACAAAAAUUAGCUGGGCGUGGUGGUGUGUGCCUGUAAUCCCAGUUACUCAGGAGGCUGAGGCAGAAGAAUCACUUCAGCCCAGGAGGCGGAGGUUGAAGUGAGCCGAGAUUGCGCCACUGCACUCCAGCUUAGGCAAUAGAGUGAGACUCCAUCUAAAAAAAAAAAAAAAGGAAAGAAAAAAAAAUAUAUAUAUAUAUGAUUGUGGAGACCAAAGUUCUUAUUUGCAGAUGAAGCCUUCAGGUAUUAGGCUUCAGAGAGAAUAGGUUGUAAAAUGUUUAUCGGACUUAAAGUCUAUGUUGAUGUUAAUGCCAGAGAGGUAUAAUGAGGCAUGUCUGACCCCCACUUCUUAUGGCCUGAACCAGUCUUUGAGGUUAAAUUUUAAGAGUUCCAGGCCAGGCACAGUGGCUGACACCUGUAAUCCCAACACUUUGGGAGGCAGAGGUGGGCGAAUCACUUCAGGUCAGGAGUUCGAGACCAGCCUGGCCAACAUGGUGAAACCCGGUCUCCACUAAAAAAUAUACAAAAAUUAGCCAGGCAUGGUGGUGCGCACCUGUAAUCCCAGCUACUCAGGAGGCUGAGGCAGGAGAAUCACUUGAACCUGGGAGGCAGAGGUUGCAGUGAGCAGAGAUCGCACCACUGCACUCCAGCCUGGGUGACAGAGCAAGACUCCGUCAAAAAAAAAAAAUUUUUUUUAAGAGUUCCCUGGCCGAGGAGGAAGUCCAUUUAGAUGGCUGGGGAGCCUUAUAAAUUUAUUUUUUAUUUUUGGUUUACACUUGAUAAAAACUUCAGCCGAAUUAAAUUUAAAGUUUAAUUGAGCAAUGAAUGAUUCACGAAUCACGCAGCCCCCAGAAUCACAGCAGAUUCACAGAGACUCCAGCACAGCCACGUGGUGGAAGAUUCGUAGACAAAAAAAGGUAAAUGAUGUACAGAAAUUGAAAGUAAAGUACAAAACAGCUGGAUUGGUUUCAGGUUGGUGUUUGCCGUAUUUGAACACAGUUUGAACGCUCAGCAGUAUAUGAAUAGUUGAAGUGCAGCCUCUGGGAUUGGCCAAGACGCAGCUAUUGUUACAGUUGCAUACUCCUGUUAGGUUUUCAAUCUAUCUACCUAUUAAGCUAGGUUGCAGUUCAUCCACAAGGACUCAAAUAUAAAAAUAUGAAGUCCUUCUCAGGCCAUAUUUAGUUUGCUUCAGCAACUACCCUCUUUUGGUCAUUUUCUCAAUUUUGAGAGAUUGACCAAAACUUUAGUUGUUGUCACUAUCACCAUAGUAAAUGUACUUAUUUGCUCCUGAAAUCCAGUGGGAAACAGUAGAACAAUGAGUUUUCCAAAGGUAGGAACAAAGACUGAGUAGAGGGUACCUCUUUAUGCUGGAACAUCCUGUUUACAGGAGAAAAAACCUGGUCUGUUCUAGGAUUUAUAUGUAUCCUUAGUUUGAUUAUGUCACAUUUAGCAUGAGUGACUCCAUUUUAGUUUGGUUUGUCCUGUUGGGACCUAGUGCAUGAGCUUAGUCCAAAACAAUGGCCUCCCAUAAUUGUGUUUUUUAAAAAAUUCCCCCUUUUUGGUCAGGUUCUUACUUAGGUGAGAGUGUGACCAAAACUUGGGGCCUUAGCACCACUCUCUGUUACCAUCAUUUUGUGUUUCUGGUGUCAGCACAUCGUUCAUAGGUUAUGGUAUCCUCAUGGUCACAUAUUUCUUUCAGCUCUUUCAUUCCAGUUGAAGAGAGACCAUUUGACGUUCUAGAGAUAGCUGUGUGCAAUCAUUUAAAAUCUUUGAGAGAAUACAGUGCACCAGGGAGACUAUUAUUAUGCCUAUUGGGAGCAUAAUACCAAGAGUUUGGAGUAUGCUCCUUACCCAGGGUCCCCAUAAACCAAACCACCUAAAAUUAAAUAGAUUAAAGAAUGAGUGAGAUGAAGGGUCUACUUGCUUGACUAAGUGAUCUUUUCAUUAAUCUUCUACAACUGAAUUUUUAUAAUCUACAUUUAAUGUAUUCCUCCAUAGGCCACAGCUGCCAGCAGCUGCACAGGUACUUUUCUAUUUAACUAAUUCUAUUAUUUAGCAUAACUUUCACAAGAGAAUUUAAAGUCUGUUGUGUAACGAUAGUCUUUACAGUAGAAUCUGCUAGAAAGCCUAUUAUGAGGGAUAUAUUUCUAGUUAUUGCCUAUUUUAUUCUAAACGAUGGAAAAAGGACCUAACAAAUGAUGUCCUUUUAGAAAAGUGAAGGCCCCCUGACAAUGUUCUCUUUAACCCAUGAUGUGGGUUAAGAGGAGUUUUUACUGAUUAUGAGGAAAUAUAUGUACAAUUAAAGUUUUUCACCUACAUUGGGCCUUCGUCUUGUCUUUAUCAAAGUAUAAGUUUAUUCAUGUAUAAGGCUGGCUACAAAAUCCUUCACAAAUAAAAGUAUACCUUAUAACUGAACAUAAUAGAACCCCUUUUCAUUUCUAUUAUUCAUAGAGGCAUAAACAAGGAAAAAAAUAUUCAAAGAUAAGAGUCUCAUUAUAGAAGCCUUGAUCCAUGAUCAUGGGAAAAGCUGUUCACAUCAAGGAUGCCAUCUUCUUCUGGGAAGAAACUUUCUGGGUUAGUUUUACCUUAAGGAUUCCAAUGGGUGUACAGUUCCAAGAGUGUAGAGGGACCCCUUUCAGUUGUUUAUGAACCCAAGGUUCAAGGUUCCAAAGUUUUGUUGCAGUGUAGAAGGACAGUCUUUCUCUGAUGUUCUCAGAAGAGUCAGUCUUCAGGUUCUGGAUUGUGAAGGGGUUGAUUGUCCUCAGUGAACCAUAAAAAGUUUUCUUUAUCUGGUGAAAAUAUACUCUGGCAUAAUAAUUAGCUGUUAUAACAUAAAACAUGCAUUGAAAAUGACAGUGGAAUGAAAUUCAUUUAUACAUGUUUAAAUGACCCAUCAGGUAGCCAAAUGUACCUGAAGGUUUGAUUACCUUCCCAGGAAUAUGGAACCAACCAUUGGUUUUAUUUUAUUUUAUUUUAUUUUGAGAUGGAGUCUCACUCUAUUGCCCAGGCUGGAGUGCAGGGGCAUGAUCUUGGCUCACUGCAGCCUCCACCUCCCGGGUUCAAGCGAUUCUCCUGCCUCAGCCUCCUGCGUAGCUGGGACUGUAGGCACCCGCCACCACGCCCAGCUAAUUUUUACAUUUUUAGUAGAGACAGGGUUUCACCAUAUUGGCCAGGCUGGUCUUGAACUCCUGACUUUGUGAUCCACCCACCUCAGCCUCCCAAAGUGAUGGGAUUACAGGCAUGAGCCACCAUGCCCAGCUGUGUUUUUUUUUUACAAGAAUCAUCUGCUUAUUUAUUUUACAAAGUAAUUAUUUAAAUUGAGUACAUUUGGGCACAGUAGAUAUUGGACAUGAAAAGUAUUUGUAUCAGAAUGGGCAUCAGAAAAAUAGCAACUCAUCUUACACAUAAUAACUAGAAAAUAUUAUUCUGUCUGAUCAUUUAAGUGUUACAAAUCCUGAGAAUGUUAUACACUGAACAAAUUAGGUACUACCUUAAAAUUAAAUCUUGCUUGGAAAUAAUCCUUUAAAAAUGAUCUGAGGUACAAAUCAUCUAUGUAUUAAACGUGAGUCUUUGACAUUAUACAAAGAGUUUAAACAAAUAUAUAAAUUACAGGUCAGUGGCUCUUAAAAUAGCUACCAGUCAGGUUCAAGGACACACUGUUCCGCAAUUUCCCAUAAGCUGGGGUUUUCCAUUGCAG